UUGUGCUGCUGUAUAACAGAACUGUGGGGACACAGAGGGAGAGUGCAACCCGGGAGUGGAAAGACCGGGGCAAGCGAGGUAGGAGUCACGUAGGCAAAUCCGCGUGACAAUCCGAAGGCGUGACGCAUAGCGAAAUCAAGUAGCGAAUUGCAUGAGCCAGCUGUCGAGAAAAGCCGCUAUUGUUUAUACAGUACCCGUACCGUAAACCGACACAGGUGGAUGAGGAGAGAAUCCUAAGGCCGACGGAAGAAGCAUUGUUAAGGAACUCGGCAAAAUGACCCCGUAACUUCGGGAGAAGGGGUGCCCUGUGAAAGCAGGGCCGCAGUGAAAUGGCUCAAGCAACUGUUUAGCAAAAACACAGGUCUAUGCAAAACCGAAAGGUGAAGUAUAUGGGCUGACGCCUGCCCGGUGCUGGAAGGUUAAGAGGAGAGGUUACGCAAGCGAAGCUUUGAAUUUAAGCCCCAGUAAACGGCGGCCGUAACAACAACGGUCCUAAGGUAGCGAAAUUCCUUGUCGGGUAAGUUCCGACCCGCACGAAAGGCGUAAUGAUUUGAGCACUGUCUCGACAAUGCAUCCGGUGAAAUUGAAGUACCAGUGAAGAUGCUGGUUACCCGCGCCAGGACGGAAAGACCCCAUGGAGCUUUACUCCAGCUUGGUACUGGGAUUCGGUAUUGCAUGUACAGGAUAGGUGGGAGACUAUGAAACGGUGACGCCAGUUACCGCGGAGUCAAUGUUGGGAUACCACCCUUGCAGUAUUGGAUUUCUAACAUGUGCCCGUGAACCGGGCAGUGGACAAUGCCAGGCGGGGAGUUUGACUGGGGCGGUCGCCUCCGAAAGGGUAUCGGAGGCGCCCAAAGGUUCCCUCAGAAUGGUUGGAAACCAUUCGCAGAGUGCAAAGGCAGAAGGGAGCUUGACUGUGACACCGACGGGUGGAGCAGGUACGAAAGUAGGGCUUAGUGAUCCGGUGGCAUUAAGUGGGAAUGCCAUCGCUCAACGGAUAAAAGCUACCCUGGGAUAACAGGCUUAUCACUCCCAAGAGUUCACAUCGACGGAGUGGUUUGGCACCUCGAUGUCGGCUCAUCGCAUCCUGGGGCUGUAGAAGGUCCCAAGGGUUGGGCUGUUCGCCCAUUAAAGCGGUACGCGAGCUGGGUUCAGAACGUCGUGAGACAGUUCGGUCCCUAUCCGGCGUGGGCGUAGGAUAUUUGAGAGGAGCUGUCCUUAGUACGAGAGGACCGGGAUGGACUGACCUCUGGUGUAUCGGUUGUUCUACCAAGAGCAUGGCCGAGUAGCCAAGUCGGGAAGGGAUAAACGCUGAAGGCAUCUAAGCGUGAAGCCCCCCUCAAGAUGAGAUAUCCCAUAACGCAAGUUAGUAAGACCCCUUGAAGACGACGAGGUAGAUAGGGCAGAGGUGGAAGUGCAGUAAUGCAUGGAGCUGACUGUUACUAAUAGGUCGAGGGCUUAAUC
Molecule: ribosomal RNA, 1464 nt
Filed under: metagenome
Description: bacterial LSU rRNA
Rfam family: Bacterial large subunit ribosomal RNA
Source: RNAcentral